CGCGGCCUAUCAGCUUGUUGGUGGGGUAACGGCCUACCAAGGCUUCGACGGGUAGCUGGUCUGAGAGGAUGGUCAGCCACACUGGGACUGAGACACGGCCCAGACUCCUACGGGAGGCAGCAGUUAGGAAUCUUGCGCAAUGGACGAGAGUCUGACGCAGCAACGCCGCGUGAGGGAUGAAGGCUCUCGGGUUGUAAACCUCUUUCAGCAGGAACGAAAAUGACGGUACCUGCAGAAGAAGCUCCGGCCAACUACGUGCCAGCAGCCGCGGUAAUACGUAGGGAGCAAGCGUUGUCCGGAUUUAUUGGGCGUAAAGAGCUCGUAGGCGGUUUAGAAAGUCAGGUGUGAAAACUCUGGGCUCAACCCAGAGACGCCACUUGAUACUUCUAUGACUUGAGUUCGGUAGGGGUGAGUGGAAUUCCUGGUGUAGCGGUGAAAUGCGCAGAUAUCAGGAGGAACACCGAUGGCGAAGGCAGCUCACUGGGCCGAUACUGACGCUGAGGAGCGAAAGCGUGGGGAGCGAACAGGAUUAGAUACCCUGGUAGUCCACGCCGUAAACGUUGGGAACUAGGUGUGGGAGAUAUUCAACGUCUUCCGUGCCGUAGCUAACGCAUUAAGUUCCCCGCCUGGGGAGUACGG
RNAcentral lists this ribosomal RNA (639 nucleotides) under uncultured bacterium. Its description in RNAcentral is "bacterial SSU rRNA". It matches the Rfam family "Bacterial small subunit ribosomal RNA", at positions 232 to 885 of the family's 1533-position model. The record is from RNAcentral.